RNAcentral lists this unclassified non-coding RNA (206 nucleotides) under Hevea brasiliensis (rubber tree). The record is from RNAcentral. Lineage: Eukaryota; Viridiplantae; Streptophyta; Magnoliopsida; Malpighiales; Euphorbiaceae.
UUUUGCUUUAAUUUUUUUAAAUUUACAAAUAGCCAAAAUAACAUGAUGGUGUCAAGCUGGAACCGAAUUGAUCACAAAAAGAAACAGGCACAAUUACAUCCUGAAAGAAUACACGCAUCCAAGAAAGCCCAAUACACCAGAAAAAGGAAGAUGCAUGGUAACAUAACAAAUCCCACUGAAGCUAAAUUUCAAAAACCCAAUUUGAA